GACGAACGCUAGCGGCGUGCUUAACACAUGCAAGUCGAACGGAAAGGCCCUGCUUUUGUGGGGUGCUCGAGUGGCGAACGGGUGAGUAGCACGUGAGUAACCUGCCCUUGACUUUGGGAUAACUUCAGGAAACUGGGGCUAAUACCGGAUAGGAGCUCCUGCUGCAUGGUGGGGGUUGGAAAGUUUCGGCGGUUGGGGAUGGACUCGCGGCUUAUCAGCUUGUUGGUGGGGUAGUGGCUUACCAAGGCUUUGACGGGUAGCCGGCCUGAGAGGGUGACCGGCCACAUUGGGACUGAGAUACGGCCCAGACUCCUACGGGAGGCAGCAGUGGGGAAUAUUGCACAAUGGGCGGAAGCCUGAUGCAGCAACGCCGCGUGCGGGAUGACGGCCUUCGGGUUGUAAACCGCUUUCGCCUGUGACGAAGCGUGAGUGACGGUAAUGGGUAAAGAAGCACCGGCUAACUACGUG
RNAcentral lists this ribosomal RNA (468 nucleotides) under uncultured bacterium. Its description in RNAcentral is "partial 16S ribosomal RNA". It matches the Rfam family "Bacterial small subunit ribosomal RNA", at positions 28 to 507 of the family's 1533-position model. The record is from RNAcentral.